This 432-nucleotide unclassified non-coding RNA is filed under the name Hevea brasiliensis (rubber tree). The record is from RNAcentral. Lineage: Eukaryota; Viridiplantae; Streptophyta; Magnoliopsida; Malpighiales; Euphorbiaceae.
GUCGUUGCUCUGAUCAUGGGAUAUUAGAGCCUGAACUCAUAGCAGAAUACUCCAUUCACUGCAGAAGUUACAUCUAUACUACUCUUUUCUUCUUCCUGAAAUAUUUGUUUGUGUACAUAAGAAAUAACUGCAAAUGAAUCUUAAGCAGAUAAGCUGCCAAGUUUCCUUGUUCGAAAAACGUGGUAUUUAACAUCAGAACUUGUAAUUGUAGCCUGUAAGAUUUGGGAACCAAAUCCUAGUCAUGGUGAUAUCUUGCAGGUCAUUGUUUAUUCCUCUCAGUGUCUCAUCAAGACACAGAGUAGCACACCCUCUCACAGAAACAGAAGGCCAAUGUGGGUCUCGCUUAAAAGCCAACAAAAUCUCUUCUUCACUCCACCCGAUACGCUUCAUCAGCGCAGUUUUCUUCUUCCAAGUAAAAUCACUCAUUGUUAU